GCAUUGUCAUUGUCCUCAAGUGAAGAAUUUUUCAGCUGAAAUUUCUGAUCUCUGUCCUCAGAUCUUUAUAUCCCCAGCACUGCUCCGGGAGAAGUGAUGGAACUUCUGCACUGACUCUGAGUCAAAUCCAGCACUGUUUGAUUUAGUUCAUGUUCCUCCUACAAGUGAUCAGGACAUUUGCUGGGAAGGUGGAAGGGCAAGACUGCUCCAGCAGUCCAACUAUAAGGAUAUUUACCUUGGAGAUGUCAUUGCUUCAUGGAGAACAGACCUGAGUGGUAUCACUACCAGGCAGGCACACAACCACCUGAAUCCAUCCCUGAAGAAAUAUGGGUGAUUACCUCCCUCAUAGGUGUUUGCACACAAGUUACAACUGACACAUCAGAAAACCCCCCAAAACCUGGAUGGAAAACGUCAACAGAAUUUUGGACUCUUGUUUCAGAUACUUGGGGGUCUUCAUCUGCUAGAUUACAGAGGCAUGCUGUCUUUAGCACAAAAGGAGAAGUGUUUAUCAUGAUGCUGGAAGGGCUGGAGGUGCAGCUUCCCUGGGGUAGAGUGGGGAGAGAAAGGAAAUGUUAUUGGUGUUCAACACCUGAGAUUCAGCUGAGCUGAAAUAUAGUUGGCUGCUGCUGUACAGAGUCAAAAGGCUUAAUUAGUUUUCAGCUGCUUCCUGAAUUGUGUUGGACUAGAGUAGAAAUUCAUUUCUUUUUCCAUGCUUUUCUCAGGUUUGGUAAGCAUCACUCCAGAGUAUGUGGAGAAUAAGGCUGCAGCACUGACUGAAAAUAAUGAUAUUUUUUACUUUAUUUGUGACGAGACACCAGGAAAAAAGACACAUAACAGCUACAAGGAUGUUAUUGAAUGGAUAUGGAAAUUUGCAGACUUAUUGCUGGUCACAUAUGACCUAAAGAAAUAUUGGAGGAUUGUAUGCAUAGAGCCAGAUUUUCAGUUUGCCAGACACUAACAGUCUGACUGUAAGUGGAAUCUACGGGUGUUCAAUAUCCUGGAAAAUUAGCUACAGAUGUUUCUAGUUUGAUAUGUAAAUAUGUAGGCAAUAAAUACUGUGAGCAUUUGGAUUUGUAAUUUAAU
RNAcentral lists this long non-coding RNA (1083 nucleotides) under Zonotrichia albicollis (white-throated sparrow). RNAcentral's name for it is "lncRNA (ENSZALG00000017954.1)". The record is from RNAcentral. Lineage: Eukaryota; Metazoa; Chordata; Aves; Passeriformes; Passerellidae.